This 813-nucleotide ribosomal RNA is filed under the name Microsporidia sp. IM-2007a. RNAcentral's name for it is "bacterial SSU rRNA". It matches the Rfam family "Microsporidia small subunit ribosomal RNA", at positions 6 to 778 of the family's 1311-position model. Lineage: Eukaryota; Fungi; Microsporidia. The record is from RNAcentral.
GGUUGAUUCUGCCUGACGUGGAUGCUUGUCUCAUAGAUUAAGCCAUGCAUGUGUAAGCGAAGCGAUUAGUGGAGCGGCGGACGGCUCAGUAACGGGCGAGUAUUUAAUCUCUCGAACUGGACAACCUCAGGAAACAGAGGGGAAAACAGUGUAGUUAUUUGUUAACAGCGAAUGACGAGAACAUUUAGUUGUGCGAGAGAGUAAGAAGCCAUCCCAUCAGUUAGUAAGUAGGGUAAGGGCCUACUUAGACGAAGACGGGUACGGGGGAUUAGGGUUUGAUUCCGGAGAGGGAGCCUGAGAGACGGCUACCAGGUCCAAGGACAGCAGCAGGCGCGAAAAUUACCACAGCCCGCAUCGGGGCGGUAGUGAAGAGACGUGAAAACAACAGUGUGUAGAUAUCACUAGUGUAACUGGAGGUCAAGUCUGGUGCCAGCAUCCGCGGUAAUACCAGCUCCAGGAGUGUCUAUGAUGAUUGCUGCGAUUAAAAGGUCCGUAGUCAAUGAACAAGACCUGUCUGUAAUGUGGCUUAUCAAGAGCCGAGUAGGACGGGAAUCGUUCAGAGUUAGGAGCGAUUGAGGGCUAGAUUAUUGAGCAGCGAGGGGUGAAAUCUGAUGACCUGCUUAGGAGUAACAGAGGCGAAAGCGCUAGUCAAGAGCGAAUCCGAUGAUCAAGGACGUAGGCUGGAGUAUCGAAGACGAUUAGAGACCGUAGUAGUUCCAGCAGUAAACGAUGCCUACACUGUUGCAGACUUGUCUGCGACAGAAGAGAAAUCUAGUAGGGCUACGGGGAGAGUACGCGCGCAAGUGUUAAAUU